CAUGCAAGUCGAGCGGAACGACAGAGGUUUACCUCUGGGCGUCGAGCGGCGAACGGGUGAGUAACGCGUAGGAAUCUGCCCGAUAGCGGGGGAUAGCCCGGGGAAACCCGGAUUAAUACCGCAUACGCCCCACGGGGGAAAGACCGGGAUCUUCGGACCGGUCGCUAUCGGAGGAGCCUGCGUUGGAUUAGCUUGUUGGUAGGGUAACGGCCUACCAAGGCAACGAUCCAUAGCUGGUCUGAGAGGAUGAUCAGCCACACUGGGACUGAGACACGGCCCAGACUUCUACGGGAGGCAGCAGUCGGGAAUAUUGGACAAUGGGGGAAACCCUGAUCCAGCCAUGCCGCGUGUGUGAAGAAGGCCUUCGGGUUGUAAAGCACUUUCAGUAGUGAGGAAGGGGCCUGGGUGAAUACCCCGGGCUUUUGACGUUAGCUACAGAAGCAGCACCGGCUAACUCCGUGCCAGCAGCCGCGGUAAUACGGAGGGUGCGAGCGUUAAUCGGAAUUACUGGGCGUAAAGCGCGCGUAGGCGGUCUGGUAAGUCGGAUGUGAAAGCCCAGGGCUUAACCUUGGAACUGCAUUCGAUACUGUCAGGCUAGAGUAUGGUAGAGGGAGGUAGAAUUCCACGUGUAGCGGUGAAAUGCGUAGAGAUGUGGAGGAAUACCGGUGGCGAAGGCGGCCUCCUGGACCAAUACUGACG
RNAcentral lists this ribosomal RNA (699 nucleotides) under uncultured bacterium. RNAcentral's name for it is "bacterial SSU rRNA". It matches the Rfam family "Bacterial small subunit ribosomal RNA", at positions 54 to 745 of the family's 1533-position model. The record is from RNAcentral.